Long non-coding RNA from Mytilus californianus (California mussel), 745 nucleotides. RefSeq lists it as uncharacterized. The transcript is spliced from 4 exons. NCBI's taxonomy places the organism in Eukaryota, Metazoa, Mollusca, Bivalvia, Mytilida, Mytilidae. The record is from RefSeq and is a predicted model, not a curated record.
CUAAUCAUAAUAUAUUUAAAGAAAAAACACAACCGUUGCAAAACAUCGUCCUUGGGGGAUUACUCGGAACUAUUGCUGUGCUUGUUGUUGGGAUAGGAAUUCUUUUUUUUCACAUAAAACGGAAGAACAAACAGAGAAUUUUAUCUACAAUUAAUCUCGAAACUCCAAUGGGAAAUGAUGAUGAAAGUGGUCAUUAUAUGGAGAUAUAUAUGAUAGAUGAGAACAUAGUGACGCCAUGGCAAGCAAACAGUAAUCCGGUUAUACCAACAGUCGAAAGAGCAGUUGUCGAAAGCAGAGAUAUAGCUCUGGCGUCUGCAGGACAUUCAUCAACAUCAUCCGACAAUGACAGAAAUGCUUUUGGAGAUUUGAACGAUGGUUAUGAGCAUCCAUACAACACACUGUUGGUAAAUAAUCGAGAUGAAGACGAACAUGUUUAUCUCACUCCAAACGAGACGUCAAACAAUGAAAAUGCAACUCCUGUAAAGGAUGCUGCUUGUGGAUGUUCAUAUGAAUUCACAGAACAAGAUUCUUUGCCAGAUCAAACAAAAACACAUUGUUGUACAAAUGAUGGUGAAGAAAAUAAUGAAUCGGAAUUAUAGUGAGAGCGAUUUCAAGAAAACAGAUAACGAUUUUCGUCGGUCACACAAAUAUUAACAAAAGAACAGAAGAGAAUAUUUUACUCUGUCACUAAAACAGUUAACUAAAAACUGAUACUAUAAAUUCUGUGGAAUUCUAUCUUUUUAUU